AGAGUUUGAUCCUGGCUCAGAACGAACGCUGGCGGCAGGCUUAACACAUGCAAGUCGAACGCCCCGCAAGGGGAGUGGCAGACGGGUGAGUAACGCGUGGGAAUCUACCCAACCCUGCGGAAUAGCUCUGGGAAACUGGAAUUAAUACCGCAUACGCCCUACGGGGGAAAGAUUUAUCGGGGAUGGAUGAGCCCGCGUUGGAUUAGCUAGUUGGUGGGGUAAAGGCCUACCAAGGCGACGAUCCAUAGCUGGUCUGAGAGGAUGAUCAGCCACAUUGGGACUGAGACACGGCCCAAACUCCUACGGGAGGCAGCAGUGGGGAAUAUUGGACAAUGGGCGCAAGCCUGAUCCAGCCAUGCCGCGUGAGCGAUGAAGGCCUUAGGGUUGUAAAGCUCUUUCACCGGUGAAGAUAAUGACGGUAACCGGAGAAGAAGCCCCGGCUAACUUCGUG
RNAcentral lists this ribosomal RNA (451 nucleotides) under uncultured Pseudomonadota bacterium. RNAcentral describes it as "bacterial SSU rRNA". It matches the Rfam family "Bacterial small subunit ribosomal RNA", at positions 8 to 507 of the family's 1533-position model. Lineage: Bacteria; Pseudomonadati; Pseudomonadota. The record is from RNAcentral.